GUACGCUGGCGGCACGCCUAAUACAUGCAAGUCGAACGAAGUAGCAAUACUUAGUGGCAGACGGGUGAGUAACAUGUGGGUAUCUUCCCUUUGGUGAGGAAUAACACGAGGAAACUUGUGCUAAUACCUCAUAAGUCUUUACGGAGAAAGCUUAAUGCGCCAUUGGAUGAGCCCGCACUUGAUUAGUUUGUUGGUGGGGUAAUGGCCUACCAAGACAAUGAUCAAUAGCUGAUUUGAGAGGAUGAUCAGCCACAUUGGGACUGAGACACGGCCCAAACUCCUACGGGAGGCAGCAGUAGGGAAUCUUGCACAAUGGGGGAAACCCUGAUGCAGCGAUGCCGCGUGAGUGAAGAAGGCCCUUGGGUUGUAAAGCUCUUUCGUCGGGGAAGAAAAUGACUGUACCCGAAUAAGAAGGUCCGGCUAACUUCGUGCCAGCAGCCGCGGUAAUACGAAGGGACCUAGCGUAGUUCGGAAUUACUGGGCUUAAAGAGUUCGUAGGUGGUUAAAAAAGUUGGUGGUGAAAUCCCAGAGCUUAACUCUGGAACUGCCAUCAAAACUUUUUAGCUAGAGUAUGAUAGAGGAAAGCAGAAUUUCUAGUGUAGAGGUGAAAUUCGUAGAUAUUAGAAAGAAUACCAAUUGCGAAGGCAGCUUUCUGGAUCAUUACUGACACUGAGGAACGAAAGCAUGGGUAGCGAAGAGGAUUAGAUACCCUCGUAGUCCAUGCCGUAAACGAUGUGUGUUAGACGUUGGAAAUUUAUUUUCAGUGUCGCAGCGAAAGCAAUAAACACACCGCCUGGGGAGUACGACCGCAAUAAGGUUAAAACUUAAAUGGAAAUUGACGGUGCC
RNAcentral lists this ribosomal RNA (846 nucleotides) under alpha proteobacterium SCGC AAA008-I22. RNAcentral's name for it is "SSU rRNA". It matches the Rfam family "Bacterial small subunit ribosomal RNA", at positions 31 to 920 of the family's 1533-position model. The record is from RNAcentral. Lineage: Bacteria; Pseudomonadati; Pseudomonadota; Alphaproteobacteria.